Molecule: ribosomal RNA, 392 nt
Filed under: uncultured bacterium
Lineage: Bacteria
Description: partial 16S ribosomal RNA
Rfam family: Bacterial small subunit ribosomal RNA
Source: RNAcentral
AUACGGAGGAUCCGAGCGUUAUCCGGAUUUAUUGGGCUUAAAGGGUGCGCAGGCGGCCAUUUAAGUCAGCGGUUAAAUCGUGGGGCUCAACCCCAUUCUGCCGUUGAUACUGGGUGGCUUGAUUGCGGUCGAGGUUGGCGGAAUUCGUUGUGUAGCGGGGAAAUGCAUAGAUAUGACGAAGAACACCGAUUGCGUAGGCAGCUGACCAGACCGCAAAUGACGCUCAUGCACGAAAGUGCGGGGAUCGAACAGGAUUAGAUACCCUGGUAGUCCGCACAGUAAACGAUGAAUACUUGUUUUCGGCGAUAUAAUGUCGGAGGCAAAGCGAAAGCGAUAAGUAUUCCACCUGGGGAGUACGCCGGCAACGGUGAAACUUAAAGGAAUUGACGGGG